RNAcentral lists this ribosomal RNA (406 nucleotides) under uncultured bacterium. RNAcentral's name for it is "partial 16S ribosomal RNA". It matches the Rfam family "Bacterial small subunit ribosomal RNA", at positions 29 to 526 of the family's 1533-position model. The record is from RNAcentral.
AUUGAACGCUGGCGGCAGGCCUAACACAUGCAAGUCGAACGAGUGGCGGACGGGUGAGUAAUGUCUGGGAAACUGCCUGAUGGAGGGGGAUAACUACUGGAAACGGUAGCUAAUACCGCAUACCAUCGGAUGUGCCCAGAUGGGAUUAGCUAGUAGGUGGGGUAAAGGCUCACCUAGGCGACGAUCCCUAGCUGGUCUGAGAGGAUGACCAGCCACACUGGAACGGGGACACGGUCCAGACUCCUACGGGAGGCAGCAGUGGGGAAUAUGGCACAAUGGGCGCAAGCCGGAUGCAGCCAUGCCGCGUGUAUGAAGAAGGCCUUCGGGUUGGAAAGUACUUUCAGCGGGGAGGCGUUACCCGCAGAAGAAGCAACGGCUAAAUCCGUGCCAGCAGCCGCGGUAAUUC